RNAcentral lists this non-coding RNA (212 nucleotides) under Xylariales sp. No.14919. RNAcentral's name for it is "fungal sp. No.14919 Eukaryotic small subunit ribosomal RNA". It matches the Rfam family "Eukaryotic small subunit ribosomal RNA", at positions 775 to 974 of the family's 1831-position model. The record is from Rfam by way of RNAcentral. Lineage: Eukaryota; Fungi; Ascomycota; Sordariomycetes; Xylariales.
UCAAAGCAGGCCUUAGGUAUGCUCGAACUCAUUAGUAUGAAAUAAUAGAAUAAGACGUGUGGUUCUACCCGCGUCGCUGGUUUCUAGAACCUCUAUAAUCAUUGAUUAAUAAGGGGCGGCCGGGGGCAUUAGUUUUCAAUCGUCAGGGAUGAAAUUCUUGGAUCUGUUCAAGACUAAGUAGUGCGAGAACGUUUGCUAGAGAUGGUUUCGUU